AAGUAAGAAGCGAUAUAUUGCAAUUAGUUUCGACCUAAUAUUAGAUGAAUUCAUCCUUACUUU
RNAcentral lists this transfer RNA (63 nucleotides) under Dysmicohermes ingens. RNAcentral's name for it is "tRNA-Arg". Lineage: Eukaryota; Metazoa; Arthropoda; Insecta; Megaloptera; Corydalidae. The record is from RNAcentral.